GAGGAAUAUUGGUCAAUGGGCGAGAGCCUGAACCAGCCAAGUCUCGUGAAGGAAGACGGCCCUACGGGUUAUAAACAUCUUUUAUACGGGAAUAAAGUGCCCCACGCGUGGGGUUUUGCAAGUACCGUACGAAUAAGGAUCGGCUAACUCCGUGCCAGCAGCCGCGGUAAUACGGAGGAUCCGAGCGUUAUCCGGAUUUAUUGGGUUUAAAGGGUGCUCAGGCGGGGGAUUAAGUCGGCGGUGAAAUUUUGCAGCUCAACUGUAAAAGUGCCUUCGAAGCUGGUGUCCUGGAGUGCGGAUAAGGUAGGCGGAAUUUGUGGUGUAGCGGUGAAAUGCAUAGAUAUCACGAGGAACUCCGAUGGCGCAGGCAGCUUACCAAGCCGUAACUGACGCUCAAGCACGAAGGCGUGGGGAUCAAACA
This 421-nucleotide ribosomal RNA is filed under the name uncultured Porphyromonadaceae bacterium. RNAcentral's name for it is "bacterial SSU rRNA". It matches the Rfam family "Bacterial small subunit ribosomal RNA", at positions 356 to 774 of the family's 1533-position model. Lineage: Bacteria; Pseudomonadati; Bacteroidota; Bacteroidia; Bacteroidales; Porphyromonadaceae. The record is from RNAcentral.